This 298-nucleotide ribosomal RNA is filed under the name uncultured bacterium. Its description in RNAcentral is "partial 16S ribosomal RNA". It matches the Rfam family "Bacterial small subunit ribosomal RNA", at positions 499 to 793 of the family's 1533-position model. The record is from RNAcentral.
AACUCCGUGCCAGCAGCCGCGGUAAUACGGAGGGUGCGAGCGUUAAUCGGAAUUACUGGGCGUAAAGCGCAUGCAGGUGGUUUGUUAAGUCAGAUGUGAAAAGCCCGGGGCUCAACCUCGGAAUUGCAUUUUGAAACUGGCAAACUAGAGUACUGUAGAGGGGGUAGGAAUUUCAGGUGUAGCGGUGAAAUGCGUAGAGAUCUGAAGGAAUACCGGUGGCGAAGGCGGCCCCCUGGACAGAUACUGACACUCAGAUCGCGAAAGCGUGGGGAGCAAACAGGAUUAGAUACCCUGGUAG